CGCCCAAGAGCUAGCCCGCACCCCCAAAAGCAACAAAUCACUAUUAAUAACCCCUAAUAAAUUAAACCCUGCAUCAACAAACCAUUUUUCCUCCUUAGUAAAGGCGAUAGAAAAGGAACCACGGCGCCAUAGAGAGAGUACCGCAAGGGAAAGCUGAAAGAGAGGUGAAACAGCCCGGUUAAGCACAAAAAAGCAGAGAUUCUAUCUCGUACCUUUUGCAUCAUGAAUUAGCUAGAAAGCCCCAAGCAAAGAGCACUUUAGUUUGCCUCCCCGAAACUGAGUGAGCUACUCCAAGACAGCCUAGUAAUAGGGCAAACCCGUCUCUGUGGCAAAAGAGUGGGAAGAGCUUCGAGUAGAGGUGACAGACCUAUCGAACUUAGUUAUAGCUGGUUGCCUGAGAACUGGAUAGAAGUUCAGCCUCCCGGCUUCUCUACUCACAGCUAGCCUUAACCCCUAGACACCCAAAGAGAAACCAGGAGAGUUAAUCAAAGGGGGUACAGCCCCUUUAAUACAAGACACAACUUAAACCAGGAGGGAAAAGAUCAUAAUCAACAUAAGGAUUAAUGUCUUGGUGGGCCUAAAAGCAGCCACCCUUACAGAAAGCGUUAAAGCUCAGACAUAUUACACCUCCCCCUUUUAUCCCGAUAAUUUUAUCUCAACCCCCUAAUUUUAUCAGGCCAUUCCAUAUAAGCAUGGAAGAGAUUAUGCUAGUAUGAGUAAUAAGAGAGCCCCUAGACUCUCUCCGCGCACAAGUGUACAUCGGAACGGACACCCCGCCGAGUCUUAACGGCCCCAAACAAAGAGGGCAAUGGGUAACAAACCAAACAACCAGAAAACCACCCAAGUAAAUCUUACCGUUAACCCCACACUGGAGUGCAUUUCAAGGAAAGACUUAAAGAAAGAGAAGGAACUCGGCAAAUGCACUUGGCCUCGCCUGUUUACCAAAAACAUCGCCUCUUGCAAAAUUAACAAAUAAGAGGUCCCGCCUGCCCUGUGACUAUACGUUUAACGGCCGCGGUAUUUUGACCGUGCAAAGGUAGCGCAAUCACUUGUCUUUUAAAUGGAGACCCGUAUGAAUGGCAUAACGAGGGCUUAACUGUCUCCUCUUUCAAGUCAAUGAAAUUGAUCUCCCCGUGCAGAAGCGGGGAUAAGCACAUAAGACGAGAAGACCCUGUGGAGCUUUAGGCACUAAAGCAGAACAUGUUAAGAACCCCUGACUAAUGGCCAAAACAACUUGUACCCUGCCCUAAUGCCUUCGGUUGGGGCGACCGCGGGGAAAUGAAAAACCCCCAUGCAGAAUGGGAGGACACCUCCUACAGCCAAGAGCCCCUGCUCUAACCAACAGAACCUCUGACUGUACAAGAUCCGGCAAUGCCGAUUAACGGACCGAGUUACCCCAGGGAUAACAGCGCAAUCCCCUUUUAGAGCCCAUAUCGACAAGGGGGUUUACGACCUCGAUGUUGGAUCAGGACAUCCUAAUGGUGCAGCCGCUAUUAAGGGUUCGUUUGUUCAACGAUUAAAGUCCUACGUGAUCUGAGUUCAGACCGGAGUAAUCCAGGUCAGUUUCUAUCUAUGAAAUGAUCUUUUCUAGUACGAAAGGACCGAAAAGAAGGAGCCCAUGCUUUAAGUACGCUCCCCCCUCACCUAAUGAUUUCAACUCAAAUAGGCAAAAGGACAUGCCCCUCCUGCCGAAGAUAACGGCUUGUU
RNAcentral lists this ribosomal RNA (1707 nucleotides) under Centropyge heraldi (yellow angelfish). RNAcentral describes it as "16S ribosomal RNA". The stretch from base 108 to 1592 matches the Rfam family "Bacterial large subunit ribosomal RNA". The record is from RNAcentral. Lineage: Eukaryota; Metazoa; Chordata; Actinopteri; Pomacanthidae.